CAACCAAAACAUUUCCCCCCUUUUCUCAGGGGGGGGGGGAUUUCCUCGUGGAAUUUCCAGGGAGGGUAUACAAUUGUAAGAUAUUUUCCAGGGGGUAUAGCAAUGAAAUACGGGAAAUUCCAAGGAAUUAAAAUGUUUGGAAAUUCCAGGGGACCCUAACAAAAUGUCACUUUUCCAAGGGGCUUUUUUCAUUGCCUCCUUGGAAUUUCCAGGGAGGGUAUACAAUUGUAAGAUAUUUUCCGGGGGUAUAGCAAUGAAAUACGGAAAUUCCAAGGAAUUAAAAUGUUUGGAAAUUCCAGGGGACCCUAACAAAAUGUCACUUUUCCAAGGGGCUUUUUUCAUUGCCUCCUUGGAAUUUCCAGGGAGGGUAUACAGUUGUAAGAUAUUUUCCGGGGGUAUAGCAAUGAAAUACGGAAAUUCCAAGGAAUUAAAAUGUUUGGAAAUUCCAGGGGACCCUAACAAAAUGUCACUUUUCCAGGGGGCUUUUUUCAUUGCCUCCUUGGAAUUUCCAGGGAGGGUAUACAAUUGUAAGAUAGUUUCCAAGGGGUAUGGCAAUAAAAUAAGGGCAGUUCCGAAUAUCACACUUUUCCAGGGGGCUUUUCUCCAUUUUUUCUCUUGGAAUUUCCGGGGAGGGUAUGCAAUUCAAAGGUAUUUUCCAGGGGGAUAUGACAAUGAAAGCUCGGAAAUUCCAGAGGGGGGAUGUAAAUAAGCCAAAUUCCGGGGGUGGCAUUUUAACUGAAAAGGAUGUCCUCAACCCCCCCUGUGCGGAUAAUAAAUGCAAUC
Molecule: non-coding RNA, 783 nt
Organism: Paramuricea clavata
Lineage: Eukaryota; Metazoa; Cnidaria; Anthozoa; Malacalcyonacea; Plexauridae
Source: the annotation of a GenBank genome assembly